UUGGAGGGCAAGUCUGGUGCCAGCAGCCGCGGUAAUUCCAGCUCCAAUAGCGUAUAUUAAAGUUGUUGCAGUUAAAAAGCUCGUAGUUGAAUUUCGGGGUUAGUAGGUUGGUCAUGCCUCCGGUAUGUACUGGUCUCACUGAUUCCUCCUUCCUGAUGAACCGUAAUGCCAUUAAUUUGGUGUUGCGGGGAAUUUGGACUGUUACUUUGAAAAAAUUAGAGUGUUUAAAGCAAGCUAACGCUUGAAUACAUUAGCAUGGAAUAAUGAAAUAGGACG
Molecule: ribosomal RNA, 276 nt
Filed under: uncultured Glomus
Lineage: Eukaryota; Fungi; Glomeromycota; Glomeromycetes; Glomerales; Glomeraceae
Description: partial 18S ribosomal RNA
Rfam family: Eukaryotic small subunit ribosomal RNA
Source: RNAcentral